This 1199-nucleotide ribosomal RNA is filed under the name human gut metagenome. RNAcentral describes it as "bacterial SSU rRNA". It matches the Rfam family "Bacterial small subunit ribosomal RNA", at positions 8 to 1195 of the family's 1533-position model. The record is from RNAcentral.
AGAGUUUGAUCCUGGCUCAGGAUGAACGCUAGCUACAGGCUUAACACAUGCAAGUCGAGGGGAAACGAUAUUGGAAGCUUGCUUCCGAUAGGCGGCGACCGGCGCACGGGUGAGUAACGCGUAUCCAACCUGCCCUUUACUCCGGGAUAGUCUCCUGAAAGGGAGUUUAAUACCGGAUGUGUUUGUCUUUCCGCAUGGGAGCGACAAAUAAAGAUUAAUUGGUAAAGGAUGGGGAUGCGUCCCAUUAGCUUGUUGGCGGGGUAACGGCCCACCAAGGCGACGAUGGGUAGGGGUUCUGAGAGGAAGGUCCCCCACAUUGGAACUGAGACACGGUCCAAACUCCUACGGGAGGCAGCAGUGAGGAAUAUUGGUCAAUGGGCGGGAGCCUGAACCAGCCAAGUAGCGUGAAGGACGACGGCCCUACGGGUUGUAAACUUCUUUUAUAAGGGAAUAAAGUUCGCCACGUGUGGUGUUUUGUAUGUACCUUAUGAAUAAGCAUCGGCUAAUUCCGUGCCAGCAGCCGCGGUAAUACGGAAGAUGCGAGCGUUAUCCGGAUUUAUUGGGUUUAAAGGGAGCGUAGGCGGGCUUUUAAGUCAGCGGUCAAAUGUCGUGGCUCAACCAUGUCAAGCCGUUGAAACUGUAAGCCUUGAGUCUGCACAAAGUGGGCACAUGGAAUUCGUGGUGUAGCGGUGAAAUGCUUAGAUAUCACGAAGAACUCCGAUCGCGAAGGCAUUGUGCCGGGGCAUAACUGACGCUGAGGCUCGAAAGUGCGGGUAUCAAACAGGAUUAGAUACCCUGGUAGUCCGCACGGUAAACGAUGAAUGCUCGCUAUGGGCGAUAUAUUGUCCGUGGCCAAGCGAAAGCGUUAAGCAUUCCACCUGGGGAGUACGCCGGCAACGGUGAAACUCAAAGGAAUUGACGGGGGCCCGCACAAGCGGAGGAACAUGUGGUUUAAUUCGAUGAUACGCGAGGAACCUUACCCGGGCUUGAAUUGCAGGUGCAUGAGUCAGAGACGGCUCUUUCCUUCGGGAUCCUGUGAAGGUGCUGCAUGGUUGUCGUCAGCUCGUGCCGUGAGGUGUCGGCUUAAGUGCCAUAACGAGCGCAACCCUUCUCCCCAGUUGCCAUCGGGUAAUGCCGGGCCCUCUGGGGACACUGCCAUCGUAAGAUGCGAGGAAGGUGGGGAUGACGUCAAAUCAGCA